This is a long non-coding RNA of Calypte anna (Anna's hummingbird), 432 nucleotides long. RefSeq lists it as uncharacterized. The transcript has 3 exons. Lineage: Eukaryota; Metazoa; Chordata; Aves; Apodiformes; Trochilidae. The record is from RefSeq and is a predicted model, not a curated record.
CCGCCCGGCCCGAGGAACCUGCGUCGGGCCGAGCGGUCCAGACCCGGGCGGGUCUCCCUGGGCUGGCGUGGGGAACGGCGGUGCAAGGACCCGCUUUCCGUCCAGCGGCCGUCGGUCACGAGUCACAUCAAACCAUCUGCAAGUCACCUCCCUUGCCUUUCUGGACCAUCCACAGCAGAGCCUGGGAAGAAUUUCUGCCUGUGAUUCUCAGAAGUAUCUAGUCUGUUCCCAGAGCUAAGUUCCUGGAAUCUCCACUGAACCCAGCACUUCACUCCAGAUGUGGCUGAGGGAAGAAAAUCUCCUGCGAAGUGCAAGGCUGACACCUGGAGGGGACUGCUGUGAUGCAGCCAGGGGAGUCUGGAAGGGACAGACAGACAGACAGAUUCUGCAGCACACAGGUUGGGGUAGGAAAGCUCAGGGGGGGUGGCGAGG